Molecule: ribosomal RNA, 450 nt
Filed under: Triticum aestivum (bread wheat)
Lineage: Eukaryota; Viridiplantae; Streptophyta; Magnoliopsida; Poales; Poaceae
Description: partial small subunit ribosomal RNA
Source: RNAcentral
AUGCUCUUGCCGGUGAUGAUUCACGGCAAGCGCCUAGUGGCCCUCUUGGUUACGGGCUCCACACAUAACUUCCUACCCGAGGCUACCAUGUGCCGCUUAGCGCUUCAGCCGACGGGCGGGGAGCAACUUUGGGUCACGGUGGCUAAUGGCGACCGCCUCCGGUGUCAUGGGCUGGCACGGAACGUGCCCAUCACUAUCGGCGACAAGCACUUCACCAUCACGUGUGUGGGCAUCGACUUGGGCUGCUUCGACUUCAUCCUCGGCGUUGACUUCUUGCGGACCCUUGGUCCCAUCCUCUGGGACUUCAACGCCCUGACGAUGACCUUCUGGCGCCAGGGUCGCCGCGUCCGGUGGGAGGGCGUGGAUGGCGCAUCUCCAGCGACGCCGCAGCUUCAGCUGGCCGCGGCCGCCACCGAGCUCGAGCAUCCCUUGCUGGAUCACCUCCUGUAG